UUUUUGUUUUGUUUUGUUUUGUUUUCAUUUUUACUUCAACAGCUAUGGAACCAUUUUGCUUAGAGUCUCGAUUCUGGUAAAAACUCCCUCCAGGUCCUGUUCCAGUGGCACCUUCUUCAUGAAAUUUUCACCCCUGGGCAGGUCUUUUCCUUAUGUUUUCACAGCCAUUUGUCUGUGCCUCCAUCAUAGCCUUCAUCACAAUGAAUAAUAAGUUGCUCUUUUCACAAUCCUCGAAGUUAGAGUGUGAGCUCAUCAAAGCCCUGGACAGCUUCUAAUUCCUUUUUCUGUCCCCAGAGUGCAGCAGGGCAUCAGGCGCCUAGAAGAUGCUCAGUCAUCAGGGAACGUGAAGAGACAACUUUAAGCAGAGGCCUGUGCUAAGUGCUGGGGGCACACAGAUGACUAAAACAGAACACAUUUCCUGACUUCCAAACCCCCAGGUCAGAGCAAUGAACCUGGACACUGUUGGAGAUGGAAAAAAAGAACUAAGAUGGAGUCAGAGAAAAGGGACCCUACCUGUAAUUGCUGGAUGUGUAAAUGCCUUAGACAGUUCCACCCUGGAAAAAGUAAUCCCUUCCAAAUGCUGAAACCAGGCCAUCAGGAUCAGCUCUCUUCUUCUACCUGAGAUGGGUGCAAGCUGGGUAAAAAGACAUCAGGGAGAAAGACGAUUUAUGCUUGCUCUUCGGUGCACCACUGGGAACCACUGGGACAGAAUGCAAUGCAAGGUUCUCCUUCUGUGUAUUACAACACACGAACAGGCUAAACCAGAUUUCCCUCCCUAAGAAAAAAAACUAAAGCUCUUUAAAAGCACCAUUUAUGUACAAUAGCAAAUAUGUUCAUUGUAGAUCACUUUUAGCUGUUCAUUAAACCAAAUCCCCUGGGGACAUUUUAUGCCAAUGCUUUGGAAAUUAGUCCUUGUUACUUUAUGUAAUUGAAAACAAUAAAGCUAAGUGCCUGUUA
Long non-coding RNA from Homo sapiens (human), 957 nucleotides. RefSeq lists it as uncharacterized. NCBI's taxonomy places the organism in Eukaryota, Metazoa, Chordata, Mammalia, Primates, Hominidae. The transcript has 2 exons. The record is from RefSeq and is a predicted model, not a curated record.